RNAcentral lists this unclassified non-coding RNA (1332 nucleotides) under Aphidius gifuensis. RNAcentral describes it as "uncharacterized LOC122849216, transcript variant X1". The record is from RNAcentral. Lineage: Eukaryota; Metazoa; Arthropoda; Insecta; Hymenoptera; Braconidae.
AAUAUUAUAGCUGAAAAGAAAAAAAAGUAGCGAUUUUCAGCUAUUUAUUGUCAGCUAAUAUUAAUACAGAGAUCUUAUCUUUCUUUGAAUGAAAUUUAAAAAUACAUAAAAUAUAUAUUAUAUUCAAAUAUAAAAAGAAGUAAUAAAAGUUAAUUCUAUGUAGCAAUGAAUGAAAGUAGCAAUAAAAAAAAAAAAUAUUCAUAGAUUAUCAUAAUUAAUAAAGAGACUAAAAUGAGACAUCAAAAGAUUGAGUUGAUGUUUAUGAAGGUUCACCACUGAUUGAUGAAGCUAAUUGGGCACCAAUACACGUGACUUAUAUACACAAGAUAGAAGAAUCAUAUUAUCUGAUGGAAAAAACUAGCAAAUGAAGAUCAUCAAAUUCAUCGUUUCAAAAUUCAGAUCACGUUAUUUUUCAAUGGCUGAAUUGACUUUUCUGGAUGAGAGGGUUAGUGGCAUAUUGUGCCAUCUGGCUUACUUGGUCAUCAGUGCUAUGAUUUUUUUGCUCAAGAAGACCUGCUACAUAUGCAAAAUAGUUUUGAUCAAGUUCACCAAGUCCACAAAGAGGCUACUGCACUGAAUAAAAUGCAGAAGUUCACAAAUACUUCACCUACACCUAUUCAGCAAGAGUGGACAUUUCAUUAUCAGGUUGUAUUUGAUGAGACAGAGAUGAUACCAAUAGUUGGGGCAGAUUGGCAUCGAAGAUUUUCAUCUAGGACACAAUACCGUUGGAGGAAUGAUUCUGGUAAAAACAAUUCUUUUCAUGGAACACAAUUCAUUUUGAGUGAUGAAUUUAUAUAUAUACAACUAUCGUCAAGUAUUUAUUCAUGAAGGAGAUCGAGGUGAAAAUAAUAUAUGGUUUUUAUGAAAUAAUAUUUGACAAUAAAGAUGGACAUUUGCCAAAUUAAAAGCAAAGACGUUACACCACGUCGUGUAACAUUUUACGAAAAAAGAUCAGUAUAUUUUAAAUAAUAAAGUUGCAACAAGAACUGAUGUUACAAAUAUUUUAGAAUUAAUUGGUUCUUUAGAUUUAAAUCUAUAUUAUAUUGUCAAACAAGGAAAAAUUAUUCAACUGGCAAUGACACCAAAUCAAAGAUGUUUAAAUUUAAUUCUUAAUGUUGCUGAUACAAUUAUUUAUGACAAAAAGAAAAAAGAAUUAAAUAAAAUACUUGAAACAACAAAUAAAACAUAAUUAAGUUUGUUCAUUAAAACUUGAUGAAGAAAAAACAGAUUUCAAACAAUAUUGACUUCUUGAUAAACAAUAUCGAUUUAUUAAAUUUACAAUUAAUAAUCGUGAUUUAAAAGAAUUUAAAAAUAAAUUAGGUGAAUUAUUAU